This 253-nucleotide ribosomal RNA is filed under the name uncultured bacterium. RNAcentral describes it as "partial 16S ribosomal RNA". It matches the Rfam family "Bacterial small subunit ribosomal RNA", at positions 524 to 776 of the family's 1533-position model. The record is from RNAcentral.
UACAGAGGGGGCAAGCGUUGUUCGGAAUUACUGGGCGUAAAGGGUGCGUAGACGGUUAUGUAAGUCAGAUGUGAAAGCCCCAGGCUCAACCUGGGAAUUGCAUUUGAGACUGCAUAGCUAGGGUGCGGAAGAGGGAAGCGGAAUUUCCGGUGUAGCGGUGAAAUGCGUAGAUAUCGGAAGGAACACCAGUGGCGAAAGCGGCUUCCUGGUCCAGCACCGACGUUCAGGCACGAAAGCGUGGGGAGCAAACAGG